Molecule: ribosomal RNA, 492 nt
Filed under: uncultured bacterium
Lineage: Bacteria
Description: partial 16S ribosomal RNA
Rfam family: Bacterial small subunit ribosomal RNA
Source: RNAcentral
AGUGAACGCUGGCGGUAGGCCUAACACAUGCAAGUCGAACGGCAGCACAGUAAGAGCUUGCUCCUACGGGUGGCGAGUGGCGGACGGGUGAGGAAUACAUCGGAAUCUACUUUUUCGUGGGGGAUAACGUAGGGAAACUUACGCUAAUACCGCAUACGACCUACGGGUGAAAGCAGUGGUUCUUCGGACCUUGCGCGACUGAAUGAGCCGGUGUCGGAUUAGCUAGUUGGCGGGGUAAAGGCCCACCAAGGCGACGAUCCGUAGCUGGUCUGAGAGGAUGAUCAGCCACACUGGAACUGAGACACGGUCCAGACUCCUACGGGAGGCAGCAGUGGGGAAUAUUGGACAAUGGGCGCAAGCCUGAUCCAGCCAUACCGCGUGGGUGAAGAAGGCCUUCGGGUUGUAAAGCCCUUUUGUUGGGAAAGAAAAGCAGCAGGUUAAUACCCCGCUGUUCUGACGGUACCCAAAGAAUAAGCACCGGCUAACUUCGUG